GAUCCUAAGACCCAGGAUCAUGCCCUGAGAGGAAGGCAGAUGCUCAACGCUGAGCCACCCAGAAUAACGAAUCCAUGCCUUAGCAACCUCCAGAUUUGACCAGUGAGAGCUGGGCAGCGCCAGGGCUCAGGCCUUAGGGAAGGAAGCCCCACAGGAGCUGCUUGCCUGGAAGAGGCCGGAGCAGACCUGGCUGAGGAGUGGACCUUGGUGCAGAUUGUCCACACUGGGGAUCCUGGCAAAACACAGCAGAAACAGGGAGGACAUUCCAAGAGACCCCUGCUGGAUUCACCGCCGAUGUUGGUUCCAGGCUAGCACCGGGGCUCAACAGUGAACAAGGCAAAUAUGGUCCCUGCCCUGGAGGAACAUGGGUCCUGAGAGGUGUGGGGUGACAGACAAGAACACAGACAAAGGAACGGAUCGUGGCAGAUAUGGAAGACACCACAGGAACACGAAGCGGGGUGAUGUGAUAGAAGAUGAUGGGAGACAAAAGGUUGUCAGGUGACAAUUUGAGCCAAGGUGCGAAUAAGCCAGAGGGUAAACGGUGGAUGCUGAGCACUCGGGGCUGCGGGUACAACACCCACCCACAGGGACUAGCUGGGCAGCAGGCAGCGGUGUGAACAGUGCCAGUGUGGCUGCAGCUCAGGGACGGGGAACACAGACAGGGGUCCAAGGAGAGGUCAGCGAGGUGGGGCAGGUCAGAUGGUGGGUUUGUUUCCCUGGGCCACCUGGGGCAAGGUGGGCCUGCACUGAAUGCGGUUUGUCUCGGUGCACAGGAGCCACUGUGCCCCUCACCGGCUCUCUGCAGUGACUCAACACAGGGCCUGCCGCCUCUGGCCUGCUGUUGGAAUAGGCUUCCCUGGGUCAAUCCAUGAAUUUCAGUUUGUUAUUGUUCUGUCCACCUGGGUCCUGUUCUCUCGGAGGUGAUUUUCCAGUGGAGGAGCCACAGACGUCCCCAGGAGACACACUGUCACCCAGGUGACCAUGAGGAUUGCCAUGAGCCCAUAAAUGGGUCAGGGUGACCCUAGUUUGUGGAGGGGCUCCGAAGGGCUUCUCUGAGGCAGUGAUACCCCCAUAACACUGUGUGGGAGAAAGGGAAGUUAGGCGGAAUGGGUGAUCCAGGAGGAGCCUGGCUCAGGUGGAGGUCUGAGCCAAAGAGUGGAGAGAAGGCCAGGAUGCCUGCCUGAGUCAGGGGAGACCACCUCCUGUGGGGUGAGUAGCGUCCCCACAAAGUCAUGUCCUUCCAGGGACCUCCGGAUGUUGCAUUAUUUAGAAAUACGGUCAUUGGGCAGCCGGAGUGGCUAAGCAGUUUAACUCCACCUUCAGCCCAGGAUGUGAUCCUGGAGACCGGGAUGGAGUCCCACAUCGGGCUCCCUGCGUGGAGCCUGCUUCUCCCUCUGCCUGUGACUGCCUCUCUCUGUCUC
Molecule: long non-coding RNA, 1421 nt
Organism: Canis lupus familiaris (dog)
Lineage: Eukaryota; Metazoa; Chordata; Mammalia; Carnivora; Canidae
Exons: 3
Source: RefSeq, a predicted model, not a curated record